UUAAUCUUAUUUUAAGAAGAAUUUAUCUCUUUGGAAGAUAAGGUAAAGGUUAAA
RNAcentral lists this transfer RNA (54 nucleotides) under Globodera rostochiensis. RNAcentral's name for it is "tRNA-Gln". Lineage: Eukaryota; Metazoa; Nematoda; Chromadorea; Rhabditida; Heteroderidae. The record is from RNAcentral. RNAcentral also lists the same sequence under 1 other name.